Molecule: ribosomal RNA, 202 nt
Filed under: Bacillus stercoris
Lineage: Bacteria; Bacillati; Bacillota; Bacilli; Caryophanales; Bacillaceae
Description: partial 16S ribosomal RNA
Rfam family: Bacterial small subunit ribosomal RNA
Source: RNAcentral
UACUCCUACGGGAGGCAGCAGUAGGGAAUCUUCCGCAAUGGACGAAAGUCUGACGGAGCAACGCCGCGUGAGUGAUGAAGGUUUUCGGAUCGUAAAGCUCUGUUGUUAGGGAAGAACAAGUACCGUUCGAAUAGGGCGGUACCUUGACGGUACCUAACCAGAAAGCCACGGCUAACUACGUGCCAGCAGCCGCGGUAAUAAA